AUCGCGGGGCUUGCACCAGGUGCCUGCCGCCCCGUUCAGGGCGUCGGGUUGAACGGGAAACCGGUGAGCGCGGGUCGGAUGUUCGACCCAGCGCGAUUCCGGUGCUGCCCCCGCAACGGUCAGCGAGGAGCGUGCCGCACGACAGGCCACUGGUUCCACCUCUGGAACUGGGAAGGCGCGGCAGGCCUCCGGACGGAAUCUCCUCCCGUCCGGCACUCGCGAGCCCGGAUACCGGCCCGGUGCAUGGAUGCUGGC
This 255-nucleotide non-coding RNA is filed under the name Rubrivivax sp. A210. Lineage: Bacteria; Pseudomonadati; Pseudomonadota; Betaproteobacteria; Burkholderiales; Sphaerotilaceae. The record is from RNAcentral.